Molecule: RNA transcript, 1063 nt
Organism: Ipomoea nil (Japanese morning glory)
Lineage: Eukaryota; Viridiplantae; Streptophyta; Magnoliopsida; Solanales; Convolvulaceae
Exons: 5
Source: RefSeq, a predicted model, not a curated record
GAGGAGACGAAGAACGAUGAAUCUGCUGCUACUCCCCUCUUCUCACAUAUGCUCCCUCAAAUUCAUUCACCCAAUUCCUCCCCUUUUCUCCUCCAUUUCCACCCAUGCUUCCAUGCCCAAGAUUCGCCCCACUGAUACGAACGCCGCCGGUGAGGAUCCAGUAUCUUCCGUCGCUCAAGAUAGGGUUCCUCUCGUAGGUGUUAUCCAGAAAGGGAAACCCAAUUCUUCUUCCCCAAUUCCCAAAUGGGGUAAAGUGGCAUUGCUGUUGUUCUCCGCAGUUGAAAGAUUCAGCCAUGGUUUUGAGGUUUUUGACUUUGAGACGCUUCGAACAGCCGACCCUUUCAUUGUUGGGUGGUUUUUGAGUGCAUCUUUUCUUGGAGGUUACGGGGAGGAUGGUCGAGGUAUGAAUGGCCUGUCUAAAUCAUGUAUUGCUGCAACAAAGUCUUGUGCUUUAGGUAUCCCGAAAAGGUACACAUGGAGAGAGGAGCAUAACGAUGAUAUCCGAUGCAAUUUUGAUGCAAAAGCAUCUUUGAAUCUCAGUAUGACCUUUAGCCGAAUUCGCAAAGCUCGGGUGAAGAAUAAAUCCCCUCCGAAAUGGAUUUCACCGCGGGUCUACAAGGAUCUAGAGCAAUUAUGGGAUACAUCACUAAAUGUGAAAUAAUGAAACAGGGCUUGAAUACUGUAAUCGUCGAUGACAGGCCAUCAUCACUCUACACAGACGGAUCCAUACCCAUGUCAAAGCGGGAUCAAGAGCUUAUAACUCUCGAUGGGAAAGGUGGGUUUCACCCGGCCAAGGUGAAUGGUGCUAUAAUGGGGUGUAUCAAGAAACAUUUCACUAAAGCUGUGAAAACAUACCGUGAAGUACCCCCGAGCUUAAAGAAGUAUGGUUCAAUGAGUUCAGAAAAAUGUAUAUAUGGAAAGAGGAGGAUGAGACUAAUAUUCGACGCACGUUUGAUGCAAAGGCAUCUAGCCAGCUCCUAAAUAACCUUAUCCAUAUUCGCAAAAGGCGUCUGGAGAAUAAAUCUCCUCCAAAAUGGAUUUCACUGGAGAUUUACAAGGAACU